Molecule: transfer RNA, 72 nt
Filed under: Acidobacteriota bacterium
Lineage: Bacteria; Pseudomonadati; Acidobacteriota
Also listed under: 2 other names
Description: tRNA-Lys
Rfam family: tRNA
About the family: Transfer RNA (tRNA) molecules are approximately 80 nucleotides in length. Their secondary structure includes four short double-helical elements and three loops (D, anti-codon, and T loops).
Source: RNAcentral
GCACCCGUGGCGCAAUGGUAGCGCAAACGGCUUUUAACCGUUGGGUUGUAGGUUCGAAUCCUACCGGGUGCA